GGUGUCGAACGCACUGCGUUCGGUGAAAAGGGAAGCGGGUGAAAAUCCCGCGCGAACUCGUCACUGUAAUCGGGGAAUGGACAGGCAACAAGCCACUGGAAACGGGAAGGCCGCCUGAUCCGUGAUGAUCCGUAAGCCAGGAGACCUGCCCGGCU
Molecule: non-coding RNA, 155 nt
Filed under: bovine gut metagenome
Source: RNAcentral